RNAcentral lists this long non-coding RNA (239 nucleotides) under Ananas comosus (pineapple). RNAcentral describes it as "long non-coding RNA (ACOM_LNC016170)". The record is from RNAcentral. Lineage: Eukaryota; Viridiplantae; Streptophyta; Magnoliopsida; Poales; Bromeliaceae.
CAAACAUUCCGAAAAAUUAUAAAAUUUAAUUCCUAAUUCGCAUAGCUUUUUAAAUUUAUUAGUGUUGAUCGUCAAUUCAAAUAUUUCAUCAUAAAAAAUAUACACAAAUAAACAUUCUGAUUUACUUUUAAACAUAUUCCAACUCUACUCUUAACUUUUAUAAAUAAAUUAAAUCAGAUCACUCUGUCAUUAUGAAUCUAUUAAUUAAAAAAAAUUUAUCCCCAGAAAAUAUUAAUCCC